GGGCGAUUAGCUCAGUGGCUAGAGCGUCUCCUUUACACGGAGCGGGUCACAGGUUCGAGUCCUGUAUCGCCCACCA
This 76-nucleotide transfer RNA is filed under the name Verrucomicrobiales bacterium. Its description in RNAcentral is "tRNA-Val". It matches the Rfam family "tRNA". From Rfam's summary of the family: Transfer RNA (tRNA) molecules are approximately 80 nucleotides in length. The record is from RNAcentral. Lineage: Bacteria; Pseudomonadati; Verrucomicrobiota; Verrucomicrobiia; Verrucomicrobiales.